This 775-nucleotide ribosomal RNA is filed under the name uncultured Neocallimastigales. RNAcentral describes it as "partial large subunit ribosomal RNA". It matches the Rfam family "Eukaryotic large subunit ribosomal RNA", at positions 23 to 644 of the family's 3401-position model. Lineage: Eukaryota; Fungi; Neocallimastigomycota; Neocallimastigomycetes; Neocallimastigales. The record is from RNAcentral.
ACACGCAUGACACACUGCAUAUCAAUAAGCGGAGGAAAAGAAACUAACUAAGGAUUCCCUCAGUAACGGCGAGUGAAGCGGGAAGAGCUCAAAUUUGAAAUCUUCAAGGUUCUACCUUGACGAAUUGUAGUUUAAAGAAGUGUUUUCUGUUGGAGUUUUGGUAAAAGUUCUUUGGAAUAGGACAUCAUAGAGGGUGAGAAUCCCGUAUUUGACCAUUAUUUCCAGCUGUGUGAUACACUUUCAAAGAGUCGGAUUGUUUGGGAAUGCAGUCCAAAAUGGGUGGUAAAUUUCAUCUAAAGCUAAAUACUGGCGAGAGACCGAUAGCGAACAAGUACCGUGAGGGAAAGAUGAAAAGGAACUUUGAAAAGAGAGUUAAACAGUACGUGAAAUUGUCAAAAGGGAAGCGUUUGACACCAGUGUUGUUUUCUCGAAAAUCAAUUAAAAAUGAUGGGAUUUUGUGUUGUAUUGACUUUAUCAGCUUUCUGCACUUUUUUCCUAUCUUUUUUAAUGCACUUUUCGUUUAACAAGUCAACAUCAAUUUCUUUUGUUGUAAAAGAGUCAUUGGAGGGUGGCUUUUCUUUCGGAAAAGUGUUUAUAGCCUUUGGCUUCUGCAAUCGGAGAGAUUGAGGUCUGCAGCGUAGAUCCUUCGGGGUUAGAUACAUUUGUGCUAAGUUAUAGCCUUUCAUAGACAACUUGUUGACUAUGAUCAGUCAUGUAGCUUACUCGCUUAUGCUAUUUUACCUACGCUUAGGAUGUUGACUGAUAUGUAGUCGUA